CCAUAUUGCUUAUUCGUGAAUUGUUCGUGAAACAUGAUCGCCAGCCAGUGUGGACACUUCAGCAAAUAAGUUACAACGAAUUCGUCUGCGAACAACGAACAGCGUUGGUAAUAUAUCAAACUAAAUUCACAUUACUGUUCGCGAAUUAUUCUUAACAAUUCGUAAACUACGUUUCGAACACCGAAGGACACCAUUUUCGAGCGAGUUCGUCAAUUGUUUACGGAUGAAUACACACCUUCAAAGAAUCUUAUACGCAAAUUCAGAACGUAUUUGAACAUCAACAUUAUUUGCUGGCCAAUCGUUGAACGCUAUUGGCUGUUCGCAAGAAUAUCCACACUACGUAAUUUACAAACUUGUGAGCAGCGAUCGUACAGUCACAUACACGUUCACGAACGACUCUCAAAACCAAUGUAGACGUAGCAUCAAAACGUGUUACAUAGCAAUAUAGUCGGUUGCAUUAAAAUACACUACAUUUCUACUUCGAUGGAAGGAAAUACGCGACCAUACAACACGUAUAAAACACGCUCGUGUAUCCCUGGCCUAAGGGGUCGUCGCACACAGCGGGUUUCCGCGGUUUUUAAAGGGCAGCGCUUAUUACACAGAUUGGAUUAAAGGUCUGGAGUCUCAUGGACGGUGAGAGAGAGAGAAAGAAAGAAAAGCAGGAUAGGAGAAAGGGAGAGAAAGGAGGUAAAAUUGAAGGAGAACGUUACGUCGAGAAGAACUUGUUAUUAGAGGAACGUUGGAGAGUCGAAAGAGGGAAGAUGUGUGAUCCUGGUUGCAAGUUUAUGCUACGGAAUGCAUUCUAUCGAAUGGUUGGUAGAAAGAUGAUGAUCGGAGAUGGAAUUAGAGAUAAUUAUUACAGGUGAGGUUAUGGUCAGUCAUGGAAACAGGUGAAUCGUUAAUAGUUGAAUAUUACUUUUAUAAGAAUAGCCUUAUAAUCUAAUAAUAACAAAAAUUCGUUCGUUACUUAUUUAUAAUUCCAUACACAUCUUCAUUUUUAGUUCCAAUUUUUAAAAAGUGAAUAUUUGUCAAAAUAUUUAAGAGAAACACGAGUCAUAAACAAGAAUCUUUAUCGAUCGGAGAAGAGAUACGACAAAAACAAAAUGAUAAAAGCUUGACACAUUCAAAAAAUUUACAUGAAAAAAUAUUAUCAGGAAUAACUAAUAUUUAACCAAGAUCUGUAUGCAUGCAUCCGCGUUACGAUUGAAAUUUUCAUUCACGAUUCGAUCCAGCAAAAUAUCCUUCUCUCCCGUCUCUGUUCCCCAUUCACAAAAAUCCCUUCGAUCCAUCCAUUCCUCUCUUGGUCCCCGAAUUUCAUUAAAUCCACCCAAUUGGGCCAUAUUUAUCGAACGAUCGCGAUAAUUCUCAUUUUCUACCUUGUUUGCCUCAUCUUGCAAAACGAAAGAGGGAACUUUACCCGAUAUCCCUCUCGUGUCAUCCUUCUCGGGUCCAGGGGAGGGGGGAUCGAGAAACGGUUGGCCCGUGUUUACAGUUGACUCGUAUAAGCCCUCGUUUGCCAAUGUUGCACCGCGAAACGAAUGAAUGUGUCGGCGUCCGAAGCGACGACGCAAUAGGAACCGCCCGAGGCGUGUCGGUGCACCCUUGCAAAAGGCUCUCAAUCGCAAGAAUGCAAAGGCCAACCGGUCCCCGCUCGAUCAGAAUUUUCGGCCGUGCCCGUGCCCGUGCAAACCUCGCCUUUAAAAUAGUCUACUUUAUUGUCGGACGCGUGAGAAAAUCCGACUUUUACGAGUCGAUGAUGCGCCAGUCGAUCUUGCCUCCUUUAAUAUCGCGUUGCGUGAAAAUUGAUCGGUGCUGCCACGUUUGCACGGGUUUUUGGGGAAUGAAGUUGUUUAAGAUACGUCGAGUAAAGAAGAGAGAGAGAGAGAAAGAGAUUGAGCUUAAUCUUCAUUUGUAAUUCCAGAUAGAAAUUGAGAUUGGGGAGAUCUUGAUGGUUUCAAGUGGAAUUAUUUAGAAUACAUGGAAUAAUAUAAAUUGGGAAUAUUGGGAUUUGGGAAUUGAUUUGAUAAUGCCAAGUUUGUACAGAUUUGUUUGAAAUGAAGUUAUUUUUUUCUCUUAAUAGAUUUUCAUGGAUCAAAGAAACAAUUGAACUUAAUUUUCAUUUGUCACUUGGGAGAAUAUUCUAAAAAGCUAAUGACUUUCUCGAAUAUUCCCAAUAAAUAUUUUAUUUAAAGAUUGAGCUUAAUCUUCAUUUGUAAUUCCACGUUUCCAGAUGGAAAUUGAGAUUUGGAAGGUUCUUGAUGGUUUCAAGUGGAAUUAUUUAGAAUACAUGGAAUAAUAUAAAUUGGAUUUGGGAAUUGAUUUGAUAAUGCCAAGUUUGUACAGAUUUGUUUAAAAUGAAGUUAUUUCUUUUUAAUAGAUUUUCAUGGAUCAAAGAAACAAUUGAACUUAAUUUUCAUUUGUCACUUAGGAGAAUAUUCUAAAAAGCUAACGACUUUCUUUUUUUUCUUAAAUCAAUAAUUCUCGGCAUCAAUCUCGAAUAUUCCCCAAUAAAUAUUUUAUUUAAAGAUUGAGCUUAAUCUUCAUUUGUAAUUCCACGUUUUCAGAUGGAAAUUGAGAUUUGGAAGGUUCUUGAUGGUUUCAAGUGGAAUUAUUUAGAAUACAUGGAAUAAUAUAAAUUGGAUUUGGGAAUUGAUUUGAUAAUGCCGAGUUUGUAUGGAUUUGUUUGAAAUGAAGUUAUUUCUUUUUAAUAGAUUUUCAUGGAUCAAAGAAACAAUUGAACUUAAUUUUCAUUUGUCACUUAGGAGAAUAUUCUAAAAAGCUAACGACUUUCUUUUUUUUCUUAAAUCAACAAUUCUCAGCAUCAAUCUCGAAUAAAUCCCCAAUAAAUAUUUUAUUUCCACUCGAAUAAUAAUCGACAGCUCUAAACAACAUCGAUCGGUCUUAAGCGUAAUAAAGGAAACAAAAACGAGUGUACAAAAGCUUAAGAAUAAUCGAGGGUGGCGGAAGAGGAGAUUCAAGAAUUCGCAUAAAUUUGUCCGCAUUCUGCGCGCGGUCCUCUGGGCAGCGCGAGGCAAUAUUUUUCCGGGGCGAAAGGUGGUGGAGGGAAAAAAAAAAAAAAAUGAAGAAAAACGAAGGACUGAAACGACGACGAGUCGGAAACGUCGAGAUAUAUAUUUCGCCCCCGGAUCUCAAUAAAGCAACGGCCAAUGCGAUUCUUUCUCCUUUUUUUUUUUUCCUUUCCACCUUUUCCUCUCCCUUCCUCUUUCAUCUUCCUUCUCUCUUUUUUUUCCUUCGCUCUCUCUCUCUCUCUCUCUCUCUCUCUCUCUCUCUCCUCUCGAAAAGUAAUCGGUAAUCCCUGCAAGAGGAGGGCACUAACGAGAAUUAAUACCGAGCGGAGUGUUUGUUUUGUGACUCGGCAGCCGGGCUUUUAAAGAUCCGAGUCGCACAUGGGAAUCAGUUCGCGAAGCCACGUCUGAAUAAAUUAAAUCCUUACCAGGAAUUCACUAACGACCUGUACCUCUCUCUCUCUCCCCGGCUACACCACACAUCUCUUAAUGCAUGUUCUAUGGGCCUCCUCCUCCUCCCCCUCGGAUUUUUAUUUUACGCGUAUUCUUUAUUCAUUUUUUUUUCUCUCUCUCUCUCUCUCUCCUUCUUUUUCUGUUUUUUUUUUCUUCUUUUCCAGAUCGGAAGGACUGUUUUGUCUCGGCGCGUUACACACAAUAAGGAGGGAACGGAGCGCACAGGAGUGAAAUUGUUUUUUGCUAGUCAUGACUUCUAAUAAGGAACAAAAGCGGCCCUUUACCUUGCACGGCAUUGAUAUUUGAAUUUUUUGAUCGAUCGCCCUCCUCCCCCCUUCCCUUCCCCGCUGCCAUGAAUUAAUCGUGAAUCGAUUGUUGAUUCUUUUUCGCAUUUCUGUUUUCCAUCCGCGAAAAUAGAAAUAUCUAACGAAUUUUUUUAAUAAAAAUUACGAUUAUACGCCUUCCUCGUCCAAUUUUUAUCCCCUGAUAUGAUAUUCUUCUUGAAUCGAGAAGAGAAAUUAUUUAAGAAAAGAUAAAUUUUAAAUCCGUUUGUUCUCGAAUAUAUCUCGAAUCGUACAAUUUUUCAAUUAGAAUUUAUAAAUUGGCGCGCAAGUCUCAUUUUGUCAUUGCACUCCACCUGGUAUCGUCAAUGACGAGUGUGCAAAGCGCGUUCACGCAACAAUCCCUCUUUCCGUUAAAGAGUUAAAUUGUAAAUUUAAAAAUUGAAAAUUAAAAUUUUUCUAAUACUAAUAUACAAUUAAAAUUAUUAUAGUUUAAAAUAUAAAACAUUAGAUUGCAAAUUUAAAGAUUAAUUUUUGAUUAUAAUAAUUUAGAUGAAGUUUAAUACAAGAAAAAAUAUAGAUACAUUAAAUGAUAGUAAUAUAAGUGCAAAAUAGCUAUGAUAUAUAUAUAUUUAUUAUCUUUGUCAUUAAGAAAAUUAUUUUUAUAAAAAUUUAUUUUUAAGAAUACAUAUUUUAAAAUUCCACUCCAAACCUGGAAUGUUUGUUCGCGGCGAAAGUUCCCCCUUCCCCCCUUAAUUUCGGCCCAGACUUCUUCCCUUCGAUUCGAUCUCCUAGCGAGAGGAGAUUUUCUUGGCAAAGAAAAUCUUUCCAUUCCGUUCCUUGUUGAAUUUAUUUGCGUCAGAGGGAGAAGAAAUUUUUUCAAGCUGCAUGGACGAUUCACUUCGACAAAGGAUAACGUAAAAACGUUAGAUAAGAAAGGAAGGAUGCGUCGAUAGAAAUUUAUUUGCGUCAGAGGGAGAAGAAAUUUUUUCAAGUUGGAAUUCGAUAGACGAUUCACUUUGACGGAGGAUAACGUAAAAACGUAUCACGUUAGAUAAGAAAGGAAGGAGAGAUUAUGGAGGAUAGAAAUUUUAGGAUGGAUUAACGAGGGAUACCGUUAAUGCACGAAGGUAUAACUGUGCGCCAUUUUGGAGCGAGCCACUUAUUUAUAUGACAGGUGAUCAGCUCGGCGAGAAGCAACAUUGGCGAUGUUAUGCCAUGUGAACCGCGUUCCUUUCGAACGUACGGUAUGAAAAAGCGUUCCUUUCGUUCGCGCGAUUAUAUUCCCUCGAUAAUAUAUUUAAAUCGAAAAUCAUCGCACCUUUCUUUGCUACAAAUUUAACAACGAUACAAAGUAAUCAUCGUUCCUUUUGCAGACGAUAAAAGAUAAACGUUAUUAAAUUAUAAAUCGAGCGAAGAUCAAUAUACACAAGGGAUAUGAAUAUUUUUAAUAUCGAUUCGAGAAAAAGAAAUGUCACGAAUCUCUCGACGCGCUUACGCGUAAACAAAAGAAUGGAUUAUGAAACGUUAACGCUGAACAAUAAACGGCGAAUCAAAAGGAAAAGAAAAAUAUAUUACCCGGGAUAAAAAUCAUCCUUCCUUCUUAUCGAAUUAAGAGAAAGGGAAAAAAGGAAGAGAGAAAUCGUCCGCCCACUCGCAAUUCCCAUUACAAUUUCUUAAUGACGCGUAUUCAUACGAAAGCAGACUCACUGUCUCUGGACCGGGCGCAGACGGUGAUAAUUAUCACCGUGAGAAACGUCAUGUAUCACCUAAGGCGAGCCACCUUGCGAGAGAUGGUGCCGAUGCUGAUGUUGGCCUGAUGGCGGUGGUUGGUUGGGCUGUUUUCAAAAGGGCCUCCUCCAUCCUCGCGAGGAACAAGGAUAAAGAGAGAGAGAGAGAGAGGGAGAGAGGGAACGGUUGGAUUUCGACGAAGGAAGGCACGAGGAGGAAUUUGAUUUACGCAUCGGUUCGUUCGAGUGGAUGUGUAUUGUGCGAGAAAACAUUGUGAUGCAUUGUGGGAUGACUGUCGGGGGGGAGGAUAUAUAAGGUCUUAAUUACCGCGUGUGCCAUAUUGACGCGCCUUGUAUCCUGGUAUGACCGGCCGUUUUCAACGAAUUGCGAAAAGUCACCGGCGGUGAAUGGUCAAACAAUGAGGUUGCGGAAAGUUUUUGAACCAACCACCCGUUGAAAAGAUGAUUGGUUAAAAUUUCGUGUUAAAGUUGAAAUGUGGCUUUAUGUUACGAUCGUUUAAAAUUUUCUUUAAAUUUUAGUAUGAUUCGGGAUGAAGAUGGUUUUUUAUAAAAUAUUUCAAUGAUCGUUUCCUUUGUAAUUGCAAAGUAUUAAUUGUGGAAUUAGAAUUGGAUGCAAGGAUGACAUGGAAGGAAUUGAAAUGAUUUUUAGAGAAUAUAUUUUAUGUGAUUAUAUA
Long non-coding RNA from Apis mellifera (honey bee), 6185 nucleotides. RefSeq lists it as uncharacterized. The record is from RefSeq and is a predicted model, not a curated record. The transcript is spliced from 4 exons. Lineage: Eukaryota; Metazoa; Arthropoda; Insecta; Hymenoptera; Apidae.